Molecule: long non-coding RNA, 3705 nt
Organism: Ixodes scapularis (black-legged tick)
Lineage: Eukaryota; Metazoa; Arthropoda; Arachnida; Ixodida; Ixodidae
Exons: 3
Source: RefSeq, a predicted model, not a curated record
CGGCGCUGAGGUCGCCGCCACACCUUGGCCCCUUGUGUCCUGUAAAUAACAAAAUGCACAGCUGGCAGCUAUCUCCGGAACACUUGGAGCGGCCGGCACGAUGAACUGGUAUGGAAAAGCCCCGCUUGACCACGCCUGCCAGUCAUUCUUCACUGUAGCCAUGGAACAAGGCUCCUGGUUGCACUUGCUGGAGUUCUACUUAAGGUUCGCUGUAGGUCAGGGAGUGUUCCAGACAUGCACAGGCUAUGCGGGUUAUCGAUAAGAGCUUGUGGUUUCGGCAAAGUCUCCUGGACCUUGUGGUGUGUCUCUGGCUCCUCCGGCCAUCAAGAACUAUACAGAAUACCGUAAAAUCUGACAUGCCAUGUAAUAUUUAUAUAUAUAUUGUACGAUACAGUGUCUUGAGGACACAGUGAAGCUCUGAAGGACUGUACAGGCCUCGAGGUAACAACAAUCUUUGAAAAUCACACACGCCUACCGAAGACCCCUUGAGUCAAGUCUACUGGCCUCAGCACACCCUGGUGGACAGAAUGUUUCUUCGGGGACAAGAUGUCCUGUGUGUUAAAUGAUUGAUAUCAUUAUCUGCUGGUCACAAUGCUGUGCACCAAGAGUUUGAGUCCACUCUGGUCAACAUUUUAUUAUAGGUUAACUCAAUUUGCCGAGAUCAUCGAUGUAAAUGAGUCUAGUCGUAGCGUCAUCUGUGUUUGAAGUGAACAAAAAGUAAAUGUACUGGCGCUGGCACGAAACGCUGACAAAAGAAUUUCAGAUAUGCGCUUGAGGCAGUGAGCGGUCUCUCCACACUGUGUGAUUCUUGGUAUCUGAUGAAGAAUGUGUUCACACGGGAAAGAAUGCGGUAUAUUUGUGAACCGUUUUAUUUUGGUAUAUCAUAAUAGUAGGACCUAAUUCGAUAGUCCCUAUUUUUUUUAAAUAUCAAGAAAGAUGUCAAAAAGUGUUUCACUCAAUAAGACAAAUGUUCCCUCUUUUCUUUUUUAUUCGGAACUGCGAAAAAAUUGCUAAGCUAACAUUGUAACUCGACACAGAUUAUAAAAUAAAUUUCAACUAAAAAUUUCAACAUAGCUUCACAUGUACUCUCGGUGAUGCUAAACAGCACAUUCCGGUUCUUAAAGGUGUGAGUCCGACGUGCGUUAAAAACACUGUUCCAAAAUGUAACAUAAUGAUUUAUAAGAAAACUCGGCGGAGGUUCCACUACGCCCAACUAAACAAAACAGCACAGGCAAGAAACCAAGUCGACAAAAAAAUUCGUCGCCUCCACAUCAGUAUAUUAAACUUCAUGUUUAGUCUUUUGUUCCUCCAAGCACGGUGUAGCGAACAUCAAACCUUGUGGCUAUGUGUGUUGUCUUUUCAUCGCAGCGUGAAUACUGUUUCGCCUCCAAGAAACGACAUGUGUUUACGGUGUUUUGCAUGGGUAGUUUCUUCGAGAAGUUUGAUAUGUUGAUCAAGUGUCACAAAUAAAAUAUUUUUUCUGUAUAUUUGUAAAUAUGUGAAAAAAUACUGUUUCCGAACUGAUUUAUCGCCUCCUUCUUGUGUUCGUCAGCCACGGUUAUUUCUAUGGGACGUUUCUAGAAGUGUACAAGGAAUCUGGUAUGCCUGCCACCGGAAGUUUUCAAUAUUCCAACGUUCAAUCCAGCAGUCCAAUAUGAUGGCUUAAAUAUAGAUGUACUGUGCGUACAACUGUUAAAAUUAACACUCGAGUAGCACCAGAAGAAACCAGUUGCGGCACCUGCUGGCCUUUGGUGGCAGUGUCAGGUGCUGUUCCUUUCGGCUGCUCCACCUUCACGUGAAAUUUCCUUGGUGGAUUCAGAGCGAUCGAGGAGCACUUAAUGCUCGCACUUUUAGUGCAAUAGAUGCGAGCGCGCGCUUGCACGCCCAAGAAAGUAGAAAAAAAAAGCAUUCCAAAACUACUCCAAAUUUCCAUCAGUUUCACCGAUAGACAGUUUCGACCAGUGCUGCGGUCGCUGUUCAUGCUUUACUUUUAACAGUUGCGCGCAUUGUGCACACUUCUCACAAGUGUCUUGCAGUAUUUGGGCGCAUUGUGCACACUUCAAGGUUUUCCUUCAUACUGGUUUAAAUAACUUCUGUCCAGGCUCAUUUGUAGCAAGCUGAAGCUCUUCCCUCAUUAACAAGUCCUGGGGUUUGGUGUUUUCAAAUGGGAGCAUUCACUUCACAAAGUGGCUUCAUUCGCUUAAUUACCCCCACAAUGGAUAUAGAGAAAUGACAUAUAGAAGAGUGUAAGUUGGACGAAGUUAACUGUGUUCAAAGUUUCUUCGGGUAUUUUUUUGAAACAGCAAGGUGUUUGAAAUGGUAAACAUUUUAAAUACUGUUCACUCAUUGUUAAAUGUAUGUUCUGCUCGCAAGAAGGAAAGCUUUCGUUUCGACUGUGAGGAAGUGUGAACGACUUCGAGGACGUGAUAUAAAUUAUACCUGAAGUGUAAAGAUUCAUUAGUUAGAAUAAUCACUAUCAUUACCAAUAACACUCAGGUUCACUGCCCAUGCUGGGUAGGUUAGGAAUUAAUUAGGAUUUACUCCCAAUAAGAAAUGGCUAAACUAUGACAGGUGUAGAGGCCUGUUCAAAUAAUUUACUACUUCUAUAUUUAUUACGAAAAAUAAUUGUAUUUAAUACUUUAAUGUCUGCAUGUUUCGCUGAUGUGCAUGUGGGAGUGUUUGUGUAUGUUGGAAAACUCUCGUAAGCUUGUCCUGCUAUAGCGACAAACAUCGGACAAACAGUGCUGGUAAACAACUUCGUUUUGCACUACAGUGUCAUCACAGGUCACGAAUGUGAAUAAGCUCAUAGUUGCGCGAGACCGCAAUUGAAAUCGCACAAUUUGUGUUUUUUUUUAUCUUGCAUUCUGCGUACAUGAACGCGACGCAGCAUUUUCUUGUACUCACAAAACAAAAUAGCGGCGUUUCAUAUUUCCACGAACAAGCCAUAACCGUUUGUUCAAUGCUAUCUUGUAUCAUACGUUUAAUGGCGCUGCCAACCAAAAUGUUUCUUAAACGUUUUCCUUUUUUUUUGCUAGCUUGUUUGCUUGGUAUCAUGAUACACUUGAUUAGUAUGCAGUUUCUGACUCCCGAGCAGACUGGUGAUUUCAGUCGUCCUUUUUAUGAAAAAAAAAAUAACGAAAAUGGCGAGUUCACCAAAGAAAGUUCAUCUGAUUAUCCACGAGUUUCCGAAAUAUGUUAUCGUUCUCGCAUUACAAAGUCGGCUGAAAGUAUGAGAUAGCCAUACGGGUAAACGUUACUUGCCACCGAUUGUACAUACGUUCGCACUCUAGCGGUGCGUGAAGUUGUCUACGGUGUCGCGUGAACCACAAUAAAAUUAUCCUAAAAGUUGGACGAAUGUACCAACGAGCGUUUGUCGUGAAUCGGGAAACAGCUGACGCCACCUGGCAUCAGUUUCGUGUUUCCCUUUGUUUGCCGUCGUGGCCUCCGAGAUUGCCGAUGUAUAAAGUUCUCCGCCGGUCGUUCCGUACUACUCACCGUCUAAGAGGAUCGAUACCAUUCUGCAGCGCUUCAACAAGUGAAGGUACAUUCUUCAAAACAAGGACUCGGCACCCGAUCAAGCAAGCACAAAGACGGUGCCUCUAAGCAACUCCUCUUAAGGUGCGGUCACACUACUUAUACAACUUGCAAAAACAGUCUGUAGACACUGUCUUCUAAUGUCGGCAGCGAACGCCGUGUCUUCUGUUG